AAAGUUGGGGGUGGGGUAGAGUGGCAGGGAGGUUUGUUUCUAUAACAACACUAAUCUUAUAAGAUCAAAAUUCCAGUCAUAUUCCCUCAUCUCU
RNAcentral lists this microRNA precursor (94 nucleotides) under Mus pahari (shrew mouse). Its description in RNAcentral is "miRNA (MGP_PahariEiJ_G0007062.1)". The record is from RNAcentral. Lineage: Eukaryota; Metazoa; Chordata; Mammalia; Rodentia; Muridae.